GGCCGACUAGCUCAGUUGGUUAGAGCGUCGUGCUAAUAACGCGAAGGUCUUGGGUCCGAUCCCUACGUUGGCCA
Molecule: transfer RNA, 74 nt
Filed under: Armillaria luteobubalina
Lineage: Eukaryota; Fungi; Basidiomycota; Agaricomycetes; Agaricales; Physalacriaceae
Rfam family: tRNA
About the family: Transfer RNA (tRNA) molecules are approximately 80 nucleotides in length.
Source: Rfam by way of RNAcentral